This 253-nucleotide ribosomal RNA is filed under the name uncultured bacterium. RNAcentral describes it as "partial 16S ribosomal RNA". It matches the Rfam family "Bacterial small subunit ribosomal RNA", at positions 524 to 776 of the family's 1533-position model. The record is from RNAcentral.
UACGGAGGGUGCAAGCGUUAUCCGGAUUCACUGGGUUUAAAGGGUGCGUAGGCGGGCAGGUAAGUCCGUGGUGAAAUCUCUGAGCUUAACUCAGAAACUGCCAUGGAUACUAUUUGUCUUGAAUAUUGUGGAGGUAAGCGGAAUAUGUCAUGUAGCGGUGAAAUGCUUAGAUAUGACAUAGAACACCAAUUGCGAAGGCAGCUUACUACACAACGAUUGACGCUGAGGCACGAAAGCGUGGGGAUCAAACAGG